UACGUAGGGGGCAAGCGUUGUCCGGAUUUAUUGGGCGUAAAGAGCGUGUAGGCGGCCAGGUAGGUCAGCUGUGAAAACUCGAGGCUCAACCUCGAGACGCCGGUUGAAACCAUCUGGCUAGAGUCCGGAAGAGGAGAGUGGAAUUCCUGGUGUAGCGGUGGAAUGCGCAGAUAUCAGGAGGAACACCAAUAGCGAAGGCAGCUCGCUGGGACGGUACUGACGCUAAGGCGCGAAAGCGUGGGGAGCGAACGAGG
RNAcentral lists this ribosomal RNA (254 nucleotides) under uncultured bacterium. RNAcentral describes it as "partial 16S ribosomal RNA". It matches the Rfam family "Bacterial small subunit ribosomal RNA", at positions 524 to 777 of the family's 1533-position model. The record is from RNAcentral.